UACGUAGGGUGCAAGCGUUGUCCGGAAUUAUUGGGCGUAAAGAGCUCGUAGGCGGUUUGUCGCGUCUGCUGUGAAAACUCGAGGCUCAACCUCGGGCUUGCAGCGGGUACGGGCAGACUAGAGUGCGGUAGGGGUGACUGGAAUUCCUGGUGUAGCGGUGGAAUGCGCAGAUAUCAGGAGGAACACCGAUGGCGAAGGCAGGUCACUGGGCCGCAACUGACGCUGAGGAGCGAAAGCAUGGGGAGCGAACAGG
This 253-nucleotide ribosomal RNA is filed under the name uncultured bacterium. RNAcentral describes it as "partial 16S ribosomal RNA". It matches the Rfam family "Bacterial small subunit ribosomal RNA", at positions 524 to 776 of the family's 1533-position model. The record is from RNAcentral.